GACGAACGCUGGCGGCGUGCUUAACACAUGCAAGUCGAACGGAAAGGCCCUACUUUUGUGGGGUGCUCGAGUGGCGAACGGGUGAGUAACACGUGAGUAACCUGCCCUUGACUUUGGGAUAACUCUAGGAAACUGGGGCUAAUACCGGAUAUGAUCUUCUGCUGCAUGGGGGUGGUUGGUAAGUUUCGGCGGUUGGGGAUGGACUCGCGGCUUACCAGCUUGUUGGUGGGGUAGUUGCUUACCAAGGCUUUGACGGGUAGCCGGCCUGAGAGGGUGACCGGCCACAUUGGGACUGAGAUACGGCCCAGACUCCUACGGGAGGCAGCAGUGGGGAAUAUUGCACAAUGGGCGGAAGCCUGAUGCAGCAACGCCGCGUGCGGGAUGACGGCCUUCGGGUUGUAAACCUCUUUCGCCUGUGACGAAGCGUGAGUGACGGUAAUUGGUAAAGAAGCACCGGCUAACUACGUG
Molecule: ribosomal RNA, 468 nt
Filed under: uncultured bacterium
Lineage: Bacteria
Description: partial 16S ribosomal RNA
Rfam family: Bacterial small subunit ribosomal RNA
Source: RNAcentral